GAUGAACGCUGGCGGCGUGCCUAAUACAUGCAAGUCGAGCGAACGGACGAGAAGCUUGCUUCUCUGAUGUUAGCGGCGGACGGGUGAGUAACACGUGGAUAACCUACCUAUAAGACUGGGAUAACUUCGGGAAACCGGAGCUAAUACCGGAUAAUAUUUUGAACCGCAUGGUUCAAAGGUGAAAGACGGUCUUGCUGUCACUUAUAGAUGGAUCCGCGCUGCAUUAGCUAGUUGGUAAGGUAACGGCUUACCAAGGCAACGAUGCAUAGCCGACCUGAGAGGGUGAUCGGCCACACUGGAACUGAGACACGGUCCAGACUCCUACGGGAGGCAGCAGUAGGGAAUCUUCCGCAAUGGGCGAAAGCCUGACGGAGCAACGCCGCGUGAGUGAUGAAGGUCUUCGGAUCGUAAAACUCUGUUAUUAGGGUAGAACAUAUGUGUAAGUAACUGUGCACAUCUUGACGGUACCUAAUCAGAAAGCCACGGCUAACUACGUG
This 497-nucleotide ribosomal RNA is filed under the name uncultured bacterium. RNAcentral describes it as "partial 16S ribosomal RNA". It matches the Rfam family "Bacterial small subunit ribosomal RNA", at positions 28 to 507 of the family's 1533-position model. The record is from RNAcentral.